GCUGGGCAUGGUGGUGCGUGCCUGUAAUCCCAGCUACUCAGGAGGCUGAGACAGGAGGAUCACUUAAGCCCAGGAGUUUGAGGCUAUAGCAAGCCCUGCCAAUUAGGUGUCUGCACUAGGUUCAGCAUCGAUAUGGUGCCCUCCUGCAAGGAGGGACCACCAAGAUGCCUAAGGAGGGGUGAACCAGCCCAAGUUGGAAGCAGAGCAGGUCAAACCCCUGUGCUGAUUGGUAGUGAGAUCAUGCCUAUGAAUAGCCCACUGUGCUCCAGCAGCAGCAUAAAAAGACCCUGUCUUU
RNAcentral lists this signal recognition particle RNA (295 nucleotides) under Cebus imitator (Panamanian white-faced capuchin). RNAcentral's name for it is "Metazoan signal recognition particle RNA (ENSCCAG00000012952.1)". It matches the Rfam family "Metazoan signal recognition particle RNA". Rfam says of the family: The signal recognition particle (SRP) is a universally conserved ribonucleoprotein. It is involved in the co-translational targeting of proteins to membranes. The record is from RNAcentral. Lineage: Eukaryota; Metazoa; Chordata; Mammalia; Primates; Cebidae.